This 1750-nucleotide long non-coding RNA is filed under the name Paramuricea clavata. Lineage: Eukaryota; Metazoa; Cnidaria; Anthozoa; Malacalcyonacea; Plexauridae. The record is from RNAcentral.
GGGCUUUAUUAAAUUAAUGGAUCAUAACAAUUAACCUUAUGUUACAUUGAACAUUCUUUUAAUCAAGUAUUUGAUAUUAGUGAUUAUAAAUAUCAGUAUGUCGCAGUUUUUAUUUUAUAUUAGCCUGCGAACAGGCUCUCAAGCUGAAUUGAGAGCCUGCAUCGAUGACUAAUGAAUUUGAAUAUCUGCCCCGUAACGUUCGUUUUUCCAAAUAUGGAAUGUCUAUCCUUAUAUGGUGUUGUUUACAACUUUGGUGCAAACUAAAUUUAGACCAUGCAAACUAAAUUUAGACCGUACAGUUUAUACUGUUUUUCGAAAUAUAAGAUAUUGAAGCAAAAGUUUAAAUGUUUUAAAUUCUGUUUUCUCGAAACAGAACAUUUCGUGCUUUGAGAUAAGAUGGCCAAGACCAAUUUGAUCAGUUAAUGUGUUUUUUAUGCAUAGUGCUAGCAGUUGACAUAUAUAGAGCUCAGCGGAAUAAUAUAAAUUAUAGCAUCUGACCAAUGAGAAUUUCGCGUCACGAUUUGAGACGCAGAUAUUCAAAUUCAUUAGUCAUCGAUGCAGGCUCUCAAUUCAGCUUGAGAGCCUGUUCGCAGGCUAAUUUUAUAUUUAUGUUCAUAAUGCAAAUUGAAUUUUUAUUCCAAAAGCUUGCGACAUGUACGCAGUGCGUACCUAUUUUAUUAUAAAACUGACAUCUGAACUAUAAUUAGAUUAUUUUUCUGGUAAGUCGUGUCAUUUUGAAAACGGGUGUAAUAACACAAACGAUAUAUUUAUUACGUUUCAUUGUCGGAACUAAUCAACCACAGAAUCUGUUCCUAGGGUUUGGCAAUGACCCAUUGUUAUCAGUUAAUUUGUUCCCCCCUCAAUUUAAAAUCUUGUAUAUUAGUGACAUAUAUUAGACAACAUUAUAUUAAAUAUUUCUUAUAAAAUGCCUUUGUUGAAUACAAUUUUCGCUGAAUUUCGAGUAGAUAACUAAGUAAACUUUUAAGUAAGCGCAUGAGGCCGAGUGUAAAAUUAUAAGGUUUAAUUUCACACGUGUUUUCAAAGGGCAAUUUGUGAAACUUUGAAAACACAAAUGAAAUUAAACCUUAAUUUUACGAGGAACUAUACGAUUACUUGUUAAUCAUAGAGGGCAAUUUAAUCGUAAAUAAAUUUAAUUCUUAAAUACUCCAACCAACAAAUUUUUAUUUUCUAGUGUUAGAGUUCUCACUAGAAGUUUUUAAUUCUUCAAUAGCAGCUUAUCGUCAACGACAAAGCAAGAAGCCAUUGUUUUUAUCACCAUUUAAAACAUGAAACUUCGCGCGUUUGCGUCUCAGCCAAUCAGGUACAAGUAAUAUUGCCCUGAAUUACAAAAAAAUGCCCUGAUCAUUAGCCAAUCAUAUUUGAGUAAUUUUGCCCUCUAUUUGAUUAUUUCUAAAAAUCAGUAAGGUCGAUAUAAAACAUUUUUUUCUGCUCUACUCUGAUUAAUUAAUACAAAUAAAUGCAAUCCUCGGUCAACACUCCAGUUUUUAUUUUCACUCCAGUUUCAGUUUCUAGUGCCCCCCCCCUCCCCGCCCCCUCCAGACAAUGAUGUAGAACUAAAACGAUAACCAGGGGAAUCUCAUAGGGAGGCGGGGUAACAGAACAUACAUAUAUGGAGUGACAAAAUCUUAAGUUAAAAUCAUAUACUUACCAUAUACAAGAUGUAUAAAAAGUAGACAAUUUUGAAACGGCUCUCAAUUUCACAAAUCCGUUUUGAUAAAUUUUUGAUAAA